AUGAUUGUAAAUAUAUAUGUUUGAAUUUCCCGCUUUUCUUUUUACUCUCUAAACCUGUCACUGGAGUGACGUGUACACGGCUAAUUUUAAAUACCGCACUCCAGUCCGUGCAGUCCAGCAGAGUGGACGUGUGUCUAUUUAGAAGCACGUGGUAGUCACCAAGAUUGGGAAAUUCUCCCUACUUUGUUCAUUUCCGAAUGUUUGUCACCAUUUUCAAGGGGAUGACGGUUUAUACCAGCUGAAUUGUGACUACAAAGUCGGAGACGAGUACGGAGCGCCAGACCCGCCAUUUUCCAUCCAUAUCGGGGACACGUGGCGUCGAUGUACGUGUAUGGUGUAUGGUGACCGGGAGCGGUCUACGCUGGAGACGUUGGUAUAUGUGUGUUGUGUUGUGGUGUCCUAACGUACCGGAGCAACGGUUGUGUCAUCUGUCCGUGUGUCUGUGUGUCCGUGUGUUGGUCUAUGUGAUGUCCGGGGUUUGGGUGAAAAGUCACCGGAAAUAUACCGAGGAACCAGGAAAGGAAAUGUGACGAAAUUUAUUGAAAUUUCACUUUCAUUGUUUUGAAUAUUUGGUUCUCGUAUAAUUGUAGUGAUAUUUUUGUGAAAUUGAUUUGAAAGUUGAUAAACGAAUUUAGAGAAAUUAUUUGAAAAUCUAAAUAUAUGUGAAUCAAUUUAAGUGUUUAAAUUUUGGAAAGAAUAUUUUGUUUUGAAGUCAAUUUAAAGAUUUGUUGUUGAAAUUGGAGUCGACUCUCUCUUUUAGAAUCUGGUUUAAUAUUUCUUUCAUUUAUUUUUUUUUCUUGUAUGUAUUUUUUUUCUUAUUAAAUAUUUGUUUGUUUAUUUUGGUGUUUUGGUUGUUUCUGAUACAGACAUCUGGCAAUUCCAAAGAACUCGUCUGAUCAUUAUAUCAGUUCAGGAUAUAUGAUUCAUGACAUUUUGGUGGUAGCGGUGGGAUUGCUUUGAUUGCUGUGUUAGUUACAACCUUUACAAAGUGGGCAGAAUUCACCCAUCCCUUGUGAGUAUUUUCUCUUCAUUUCUCUAGUCCUGCUCUAAUUUCAGCCUUACUAUCUCUGUUUCAGUUAGGUGUUGAAUCAUGUCGGAGUUACCGUCGUGGGUUAAUGAUCAGAUUAAGAAGGGGGCAUCAUUGUCUGAUUGUUUAGAAAUGUUGAAGUUGUUGAGUGAGAAGGACAGGGAAGAGAGAAAGAUUGAACGGGAAGAGAGACAGGCUGAGCGUGAGAUGAAGAAAGCUGCGUUGGAUCAUGAGUUUAAGGUUAAGGAGUUAGCAUUGAAAGAGGAAGAGUUAAAGGUAGCUAGAGCUAAUGGAGGGAAAUUAAAUGGUAGUUCAUCUGUCCAGAAUUCUCAUGUUAAGCUUCCUAAGUUGGAAGAAGGUCAAGAUAUUGAUGUGUUUUUGAGAUCAUUUGAGAAACUUGCAGCGUUGCAUAAAUGGGAUAAGUCUGAAUGGGCUAUUCAUUUGGUACCACUAUUGACAGGUAAGGCAUUGGAAGCUUACUCUCGUCUAAGCGAUGGUGAAAGUGGUAAGUAUGAUAAGAUUAAGGAGGCAAUACUCAAACGAUAUGAGUUAACUUCAGAAGCUUAUAGAGAAAAGUUUCGACAGGCAAGGCAACAAUCUGAUGAAUCAUUCAAGGAUUAUCAGGUACGUACAGAAAAGUAUUUAUCGCACUGGUGUGAAAGAGAAGAUAUUCAUGGGCAAUAUAACAGUCUGUACGAUUUGGUGUUGAGAGAGCAAUUGCUUAAGUUUUGUGAUAAAGAUUUGCAGGUAUGGGUUCAUGAACAUCGACCAAAGAAUGUUAAGGAAGUGAUCGAUUUGGUUGAGGCCUAUCAAACAGCUCACAAAAGGUUGACGUUCGGAGGGAACCGCAAAAAUGGAACAGAUCGAAAUUCUCAAGGUAAUUUCAAUGUAAAUCAGGGGCAAUUUAAAGCUGAACAAGGAAAAGGCCCGCAGGUCAAAGACAGAGCCUGUUACUAUUGUAAGAGGCCUGGGCAUAUCCAGAGAGACUGUUCUCUUUACAACCGAGGGCAGUAUAGAAAACCCGAGGACAAGAAGUUUGGUAAGCUUGGGUUGUGUUUGUCAGAACACGAAAAUAAGCAACAUACAGAGGGGGGAAAACCUGACUUGUAUACAAGUGCAGCGUUGGUCAAACUCCCUGGUGUAAGUACAGGGGAUACAAAAGAUGUAGAUGAUAAUUCAGUACCAGGUUUGGAUAUUUCUAGGGGAAGUGUAGGAGGUAAAGAGGCAACAGUUUUGAGAGAUACUGGUUGUUCAACUGUAUUCGUCCACAGUCGUCUAGUCGAGAAGGAGCAAAUGACUGGGAGAGGAAGGAAGAUAAUUCUUGCUGAUGGGUCCGAGAAACAAUGCCAAGAAGCGUGUGUAGAGAUAGAUACGCCAUUUAUAAAAGGUAAAUUGUUUGCUCUUAUCUUAGAUUCUCCAUUUGCUGACGUCAUACUUGGAAACGUAAUAGACAAGAUCGAGAAAAUGGAAGUUGAGAAACCAGCUGACUGUUUGGCAGUUCAGACAAGAGCACAGACUCGAUUGGAAGCAGAGGAAACGAAGCCUAGACCAAAGAAGACAGAUGAUGGUGAGCUAAAAUUUGACAUUUGUGAUACAGAGACAUUGAUCAAAUUGCAGGAAACUGAUCCUAGCCUGACACGUGUGAGGGAAAUGACAUUUGAAAAGCCAGACGAAGGUCAGUCAUACUACACUCUCAAGGACAAGAUUCUCUACAGGGUAUUUCCUCGUGAGGUAGGAAAUGACAUAUUUCAGAUUGUCCUUCCCCAUAAAUACAGGUCGUUGGCACUUGAAAUGGCACAUGACAUUCCUAUGUCGGGUCAUAUGGGAGUAAAGAAGACCAGAAACAGGAUUUUACAGCAUUUCUUUUGGCCUGGAAUUUUUUCAGACACAUCAAAAUACUGCAGAUCCUGUCCAGAGUGUCAAAAAGGUACGGCGAAAGGAAGAGUGAAAAAGGUACCACUUGUAAGUAUACCUACUAUCGACGAACCAUUUCAGCGAAUUGCACUAGAUUUUGUAGGUCCUUUGCCAUUGACAGAAUCCAAGAACAGAUUUGUUUUGGUAUGUGUAGAUUAUGCUACAAAGUAUCCAAUUGCAGUAGCUCUAAAAAACCAAGAGGCGGAGACAGUAGCAGAGGCCUUGAUGGGAAUAUUUGCUGACGUGGGUUUUCCAAAUGAAAUCCUCACAGAUCAAGGCAGUAACUUUAUGUCCGAGUUGAUAAAAGAACUGUGUAGAUUACUGAAGGUGAGUAAAUUGGUAAGUUCUCCGUAUCACCCUCAAACAAAUGGCCUGGUGGAAAAGUUUAAUGGCACUUUAAAGAAAAUGUUGAAGGCAUAUGCGGUCAAAGAACCCUCAAAGUGGGACAAACAUCUUCCUUAUGUUCUAUUUGCUUAUAGGGAGGUUCCAAACGAAACCACUGGAUUUUCUCCUUUUGAAAUGCUUUUUGCAAGGCAGGUACGAGGUCCUUUAGCAGUCCUGAAAGAUCACUGGGAAGAACCAGAGAAUUGUCAGUCAUCUGUUCUGAGUUACCUACUCGAAACAAGGGAGCGAUUGAAGGAGUGCACAGAGCUCGCAAAAGAGAAGGAAAAAGUCGAAAAGCACAAGCAGAAAGUGUAUUACGACAGGAAAGCUAGAACAAGACAAUACGAGGUAGGUGACAAAGUUUUAGUAUUGCUACCAUCUAAUACAUCAAAAUUACUUGCACAGUGGAAAGGUCCAUUCGAGAUAACAGAGAAAGUCGGUAAUGUUGACUACAGAGUUAAGGUGAAAAGGAACAAAGAGACAGUAUUUCAUGUCAACAUGCUGAAAAAAUGGUAUGAUCGUGAGGACAAAUGUGAACAAGACUUGUCGAAAGAACAUUUAUCAGCUAUUGACAUACUGGGAGGUGUGUAUGAGAGUAUGGACUACGAUUCUGAAUUUAACGACAGAGCAUCACCUUCGUUAGAACUUCAAAAAGGGGCUGAAGAUGUAAUUUUUUCCAAUACACUGUCGAAUACUCAGGUUUGUCAGUUAAGAGGUUUGUUGAAUGAGUUUUCUGAUGUUUUUAGCGAUAUACCCAACAGAACAGAUGUAGUUCAGCAUUCAGUAAAACUUAAGUCAGACGAUCCCGUCCAUAAGAAGCCGUAUCCUGUGCCCUACGCACUGAGGGAACGCAUGCAGAAAGAGAUAGAUAAUAUGACCGAGGUUGGUAUUAUUGAACCCUCAACAAGCCCUUAUGCGUCACCAGUGGUUUUGGUAAGAAAAGAUGACUCUUCUAUCAGAUUCUGUUGUGAUUAUAGAGCGUUAAAUAGUAUCACUGUAUUUGAUCCAAGACCUAUGCCGCGCAUGGAUGACCUUUUGAACGAGGUGAGUAGAGCAAAGUUUAUCAGCAAAAUUGAUCUUACAAAAGGCUACUGGCAGAUCCCGCUAGAUGAGGACGCAAAGCAGAAGAGCGCAUUUGUGACCCCCAUGGGCCACUAUCAAUUCACGGUAAUGCCGUUCGGUAUGGUAAAUGCGCCUGCAACUUUUGUCAGAUUGAUGCACAAAGUUCUCGAUGGUUUGCAUUCAUUUGUUCAAUGUUUUAUAGAUGAUAUUGGAAUCUACAGUGAGACUUGGGACGAUCAUCUCCAGCAUUUGAGAGUAGUUUUCCAGCGAUUGAGGGAUGCAAAGUUGUCUGCAAAGCCAUCUAAGUGUUGUUUUGGGUUUGAUCAACUAGAAUUUCUGGGACAUGUGGUCGGAAAAGGUAUUGUCUCUCCUAAGCAAAGUAAAGUUCAGGCAAUUCAGAAAUUCCCUGUUCCUACUACAAAAAAGCAUGUUCGAUCAUUUUUAGGGACCAUAGGCUUUUACCGGAAAUUCAUUCCACAUUUUUCAGAACUAGCUUCACCUUUGUUUGAUCUUACUAGAAAGAAAGGUUGUUCUAAGAUAGUUUGGCUUCCAGUGCAUCAGAAGGCUUUUGAUUCAUUAAAGAAUGCUAUAGCUAGUAACCCAGUGUUGCGUAGUCCAGAUUUUAGUAAGUUGUUCUAUCUGCGCACUGAUGCAUCAGAUUGUGGAGUUGGGGCGGUAUUAGAACAGAAUUUUGAAGAUGGUAGACAUCCAAUUCUUUAUCUCAGUAAGAAAUUGUCAGAUACUGAAAAGAGAUACGCAGUGAUUGAAAAAGAAUGUUUUGCAAUUAUCUGGAGUAUUAAGUCGCUCAGAGUUUUUCUUGAAGGUCGAUCAUUUGUGGUUGAGUCUGAUCAUGCUCCACUGCAGUGGCUAGAUAGAAUAAAGAUGACAAAUCAGAGGUUACUUCGUUGGAGUUUGACACUUCAGGAGUUCAAUUUUGAGGUUGUUCAUGUAAAGGGGAAAGAUAAUGUUGUUGCAGAUUAUUUGUCGAGAAUAGAUUCAUCCUCUUGAAAUUGUGUAAAUAUUUAGAGAUGGUUUGUUAUUUUGUGUUGUAUGUUUGACAUUUAGUGUUAUCAAGUUCGUUAGAGUUUUGGUCGGACUAAUGGCAUUAGUCUUCUAAAGGGGGACGUUUGUAACGUACUUGAUAUGAUUGUAAAUAUAUAUGUUUGAAUUUCCCGCUUUUCUUUUUACUCUCUAAACCUGUCACUGGAGUGACGUGUACACGGCUAAUUUUAAAUACCGCACUCCAGUCCGUGCAGUCCAGCAGAGUGGACGUGUGUCUAUUUAGAAGCACGUGGUAGUCACCAAGAUUGGGAAAUUCUCCCUACUUUGUUCAUUUCCGAAUGUUUGUCACCAUUUUCAAGAAAUUGUGUUAAAGGGGAUGACGGUUUAUACCAGCUGAAUUGUGACUACAAAGUCGGAGACGAGUACGGAGCGCCAGACCCGCCAUUUUCCAUCCAUAUCGGGGACACGUGGCGUCGAUGUACGUGUAUGGUGUAUGGUGACCGGGAGCGGUCUACGCUGGAGACGUUGGUAUAUGUGUGUUGUGUUGUGGUGUCCUAACGUACCGGAGCAACGGUUGUGUCAUCUGUCCGUGUGUCUGUGUGUCCGUGUGUUGGUCUAUGUGAUGUCCGGGGUUUGGGUGAAAAGUCACCGGAAAUAUACCGAGGAACCAGGAAAGGAAAUGUGACGAAAUUUAUUGAAAUUUCACUUUCAUUGUUUUGAAUAUUUGGUUCUCGUAUAAUUGUAGUGAUAUUUUUGUGAAAUUGAUUUGAAAGUUGAUAAACGAAUUUAGAGAAAUUAUUUGAAAAUCUAAAUAUAUGUGAAUCAAUUUAAGUGUUUAAAUUUUGGAAAGAAUAUUUUGUUUUGAAGUCAAUUUAAAGAUUUGUUGUUGAAAUUGGAGUCGACUCUCUCUU
This is an RNA transcript of Magallana angulata, 6300 nucleotides long. RefSeq lists it as uncharacterized. The transcript has 3 exons. The record is from RefSeq and is a predicted model, not a curated record. Lineage: Eukaryota; Metazoa; Mollusca; Bivalvia; Ostreida; Ostreidae.